CAGAGAGCGCUGCACACUGACGUCCUCUGCAGAGCGGGGACAGCAGCCACUUUCCCACGGUGCACUGCGACAGUGCUUCAUCUCGGCCCUGGGAGGCCCACUUCUCAGGAUGAGAGGAUAAUUCACUCGCUAUAGCCCAUUCAAUCUUCAGCCUCU
This is an unclassified non-coding RNA of Spermophilus dauricus (Daurian ground squirrel), 156 nucleotides long. The record is from Ensembl. NCBI's taxonomy places the organism in Eukaryota, Metazoa, Chordata, Mammalia, Rodentia, Sciuridae.